RNAcentral lists this ribosomal RNA (459 nucleotides) under uncultured bacterium. RNAcentral describes it as "partial 16S ribosomal RNA". It matches the Rfam family "Bacterial small subunit ribosomal RNA", at positions 338 to 795 of the family's 1533-position model. The record is from RNAcentral.
CCUACGGGAUGCAGCAGUGAGGAAUAUUGGUCAAUGGGCGCGAGCCUGAACCAGCCAAGUCGCGUGAGGGAAGACGGUCCUAUGGAUUGUAAAACUCUUUUGUCGGGGAGAAAAAGACGCCACGCGUGGCGUUCCGAGAGUACCCGAAGAAAAAGCAUCGGCUAACUCAGUGCAAUCAGCCGCGGGAAUGCGGAGGAGGCAAGCGGUGUACGUAUUUAUUGGGUUUAAAGGGGGCCCAGGCGGAAGAUCAAGUCAGCGGUAAAAUUGAGAAGCUCAACCUCUUCGAGCCGUUGAUACGGUCGUUCUUGAGUGUGCGAGAAGUAUGCGGAAUGCGUGGUGUAGCGGUGAAAUGCAUAGAUAUCACGCAGAACUCCGAUUGCGAAGGCAGCAUACCGGCGCCCGACUGACGCUGAGGCACGAAAGCGUGGGUAUCGAACAGGAUUAGAUACCCCAGUAGUC